GAAUGAACGCUAGCUACAGGCUUAACACAUGCAAGUCGAGGGGCAGCAUGGUCUUAGCUUUGCUAAGGCCGAUGGCGACCGGCGCACGGGUGAGUAACACGUAUCCAACCUGCCGUCUACUCUUGGACAGCCUUCUGAAAGGAAGAUUAAUACAAGAUGGCAUCAUGAGUCCGCAUGUUCACAUGAUUAAAGGUAUUCCGGUAGACGAUGGGGAUGCGUUCCAUUAGAUAGUAGGCGGGGUAACGGCCCACCUAGUCUUCGAUGGAUAGGGGUUCUGAGAGGAAGGUCCCCCACAUUGGAACUGAGACACGGUCCAAACUCCUACGGGAGGCAGCAGUGAGGAAUAUUGGUCAAUGGGCGAGAGCCUGAACCAGCCAAGUAGCGUGAAGGAUGACUGCCCUAUGGGUUGUAAACUUCUUUUAUAAAGGAAUAAAGUCGGGUAUGGAUACCCGUUUGCAUGUACUUUAUGAAUAAGGAUCGGCUAACUCCGUGCCAGCAGCCGCGGUAAUACGGAGGAUCCGAGCGUUAUCCGGAUUUAUUGGGUUUAAAGGGAGCGUAGAUGGAUGUUUAAGUCAGUUGUGAAAGUUUGCGGCUCAACCGUAAAAUUGCAGUUGAUACUGGAUAUCUUGAGUGCAGUUGAGGCAGGCGGAAUUCGUGGUGUAGCGGCGAAAUGCUUAGAUAUCACGAAGAACUCCGAUUGCGAAGGCAGCCUGCUAAGCUGCAACUGACAUUGAGGCUCGAAAGUGUGGGUAUCAAACAGGAUUAGAUACCCUGGUAGUCCACACGGUAAACGAUGAAUACUCGCUGUUUGCGAUAUACUGCAAGCGGCCAAGCGAAAGCGUUAAGUAUUCCACCUGGGGAGUACGCCGGCAACGGUGAAACUCAAAGGAAUUGACGGGGGCCCGCACAAGCGGAGGAACAUGUGGUUUAAUUCGAUGAUACGCGAGGAACCUUACCCGGGCUUAAAUUGCAGAUGAAUUACGGUGAAAGCCGUAAGCCGCAAGGCAUCUGUGAAGGUGCUGCAUGGUUGUCGUCAGCUCGUGCCGUGAGGUGUCGGCUUAAGUGCCAUGACGAGCGCAACCCUUGUUGUCAGUUACUAACAGGUUCCGCUGAGGACUCUGACAAGACUGCCAUCGUAAGAUGUGAGGAAGGUGGGGAUGACGUCAAAUCAGCACGGCCCUUACGUCCGGGGCUACACACGUGUUACAAUGGGGGGUACAGAGGGCCGCUACCACGCGAGUGGAUGCCAAUCCCCAAAACCCCUCUCAGUUCGGACUGGAGUCUGCAAACCCGACUCCACGAAGCUGGAUUCGCUAGUAAUCGCGCAUUCAGCCACGGCGGCGGUAAAUACGUUUCCCGGGCCCU
Molecule: ribosomal RNA, 1365 nt
Filed under: uncultured bacterium
Lineage: Bacteria
Description: bacterial SSU rRNA
Rfam family: Bacterial small subunit ribosomal RNA
Source: RNAcentral